RNAcentral lists this ribosomal RNA (1366 nucleotides) under uncultured bacterium. Its description in RNAcentral is "bacterial SSU rRNA". It matches the Rfam family "Bacterial small subunit ribosomal RNA", at positions 28 to 1381 of the family's 1533-position model. The record is from RNAcentral.
GACGAACGCUGGCGGCGUGCCUAAUACAUGCAAGUAGAACGCUGAAGAGAGGAGCUUGCUCUUCUUGGAUGAGUUGCGAACGGGUGAGUAACGCGUAGGUAACCUGCCUGGUAGCGGGGGAUAACUAUUGGAAACGAUAGCUAAUACCGCAUGAUAUUAAUUAUCGCAUGAUAAUUAAUUGAAAGAUGCAAUUGCAUCACUACCAGAUGGACCUGCGUUGUAUUAGCUAGUUGGUGAGGUAACGGCUCACCAAGGCGACGAUACAUAGCCGACCUGAGAGGGUGAUCGGCCACACUGGGACUGAGACACGGCCCAGACUCCUACGGGAGGCAGCAGUAGGGAAUCUUCGGCAAUGGGGGGAACCCUGACCGAGCAACGCCGCGUGAGUGAAGAAGGUUUUCGGAUCGUAAAGCUCUGUUGUAAGAGAAGAACGGGUGUGAGAGUGGAAAGUUCACACUGUGACGGUAUCUUACCAGAAAGGGACGGCUAACUACGUGCCAACAGCCGCGGUAAUACGUAGGUCCCGAGCGUUGUCCGGAUUUAUUGGGCGUAAAGCGAGCGCAGGCGGUUAGAUAAGUCUGAAGUUAUGGCUGUGCGUUAAGGAGNAUGCUUUGGAAACUGUUUAACUUGAGUGCCGUAGGGGAGAGUGGAAUUCCAUGUGUAGCGGUGAAAUGCGUAGAUAUAUGGAGGAACACCGGUGGCGAAAGCGGCUCUCUGGUCUGUAACUGACGCUGAGGCUCGAAAGCGUGGGGAGCAAACAGGAUUAGAUACCCUGAUAGUCCACGCCGUAAACGAUGAGUGCUAGGUGUUAGGCCCUUUCCGGGGCUUAGUGCCGCAGCUAACGCAUUAAGCACUCCGCCUGGGGAGUACGACCGCAAGGUUGAAACUCAAAGGAAUUGACGGGGGCCCGCACAAGCGGUGGAGCAUGUGGUUUAAUUCGAAGCAACGCGAAGAACCUUACCAGGUCUUGACAUCCCUCUGACCGCUCUAGAGAUAGAGUUUUCCUUCGGGACAGAGGUGACAGGUGGUGCAUGGUUGUCGUCAGCUCGUGUCGUGAGAUGUUGGGUUAAGUCCCGCAACGAGCGCAACCCCUAUUGUUAGUUGCCAUCAUUGAGUUGGGCACUCUAGCGAGACUGCCGGUAAUAAACCGGAGGAAGGUGGGGAUGACGUCAAAUCAUCAUGCCCCUUAUGACCUGGGCUACACACGUGCUACAAUGGCUGGUACAACGAGUCGCAAGCCGGUGACGGCAAGCUAAUCUCUGAAAGCCAGUCUCAGUUCGGAUUGUAGGCUGCAACUCGCCUACAUGAAGUCGGAAUCGCUAGUAAUCGCGGAUCAGCACGCCGCGGUGAAUACGUUCCCGGGCCU